GCGAACGUGGCGGAAUCGGCAGACGCACUGGAUUUAGGUUCCAGCGCCCGCAAGGGCGUGUGAGUUCGAGUCUCACCGUUCGCACAA
This 87-nucleotide transfer RNA is filed under the name Acidobacteriota bacterium. RNAcentral describes it as "Acidobacteria bacterium tRNA-Leu". It matches the Rfam family "tRNA". Rfam says of the family: Transfer RNA (tRNA) molecules are approximately 80 nucleotides in length. Their secondary structure includes four short double-helical elements and three loops (D, anti-codon, and T loops). Lineage: Bacteria; Pseudomonadati; Acidobacteriota. The record is from RNAcentral.